This 250-nucleotide ribosomal RNA is filed under the name uncultured bacterium. RNAcentral describes it as "partial 16S ribosomal RNA". It matches the Rfam family "Bacterial small subunit ribosomal RNA", at positions 524 to 773 of the family's 1533-position model. The record is from RNAcentral.
GACAGAGGACGCGAACGUUGUUCGGUGUCACUGGGCUUAGAGCGCACGUAGGCGGCUCAGUUUGUGGGAGGUGAAAGCCCCCGGCUCAACCGGGGAAUUGCCUUCCAGACGGCUGGGCUUGAGGGUCGGAGGGGGAAGCGGAACUCCAUGUGUAGCGGUGAAAUGCGUUGAUAUAUGGGGGAACGCCGGUGGCGAAGGCGACUUCCUGGUCGAUUCCUGACGCUGAGGUGCGAAAGCGUGGGGAGCAAAC